This 209-nucleotide unclassified non-coding RNA is filed under the name Hevea brasiliensis (rubber tree). The record is from RNAcentral. Lineage: Eukaryota; Viridiplantae; Streptophyta; Magnoliopsida; Malpighiales; Euphorbiaceae.
GUGAGGGACUAAAACGUAAUUCUAAAAGUCAAAGACUAUUUAAUUAACUUUUGAAAAAGAAAAGAUGCAAGUGUAGAUUUCACUCAUUGUUAAGAGGCUUCUGUAAUUUACUCUAAAAUCGUUUUGAGCAAUUGAAAUGCAGUAUUAAAUAUUUUUUUCUAUGUGUGAAGUGUAAUUGAGCAUGUCAUAUGCCCUUGACCACUUUAAAC